This 275-nucleotide long non-coding RNA is filed under the name Brassica napus (rape). RNAcentral describes it as "long non-coding RNA (BNAP_LNC009478)". The record is from RNAcentral. Lineage: Eukaryota; Viridiplantae; Streptophyta; Magnoliopsida; Brassicales; Brassicaceae.
UGGUAACCUAUGAUACUAAUAAUUAAUGAUUAUCAUGUCAUCAUGUGCAACUCACUACCGUUAAGUGAAAACAAGUUCAACCUAGCUUGCUUAUUAAUUAUGCAACUGUUGGUUAUUUCUUUUGGUUUAUAUUGAUCUAAUCAUGAUCAAGCUUUUUGUGAACCAGAGUCAAAGAGAAAAACAGAGCCAACAAGCGCUCACCACCGUCAUAUCAUCAUGCUUCGAAAGACGGUUCUCAGCUUCGAGCUUGUUGAAAGCAGUACAAGCAGCAUAAG